RNAcentral lists this ribosomal RNA (104 nucleotides) under uncultured bacterium. RNAcentral's name for it is "partial 16S ribosomal RNA". It matches the Rfam family "Bacterial small subunit ribosomal RNA", at positions 1379 to 1482 of the family's 1533-position model. The record is from RNAcentral.
CCUUGUACACACCGCCCGUCACACCAUGGGAGUGGGUUGCUCCAGAAGGUGUUAGUCUAACCGCAAGGGGGACGACGCCCACGGAGUGGUCCAUGACUGGGGUG